UAUCUUAGAGAAAUAUCCUAACCAUUAUAUGAUAAUUAACUAAAAUAAUUAGAUUGACUUGCUAGGCGUCACCUAGUUCUCAUUCAACCUUCAUUCAAGUUCACAAUAGGACAACAAUCACUCAACUCACUAGAACUCAACUAUCAUAAUGCUUGGCAAUCCGUUGACUCACAUAACCAGGUGAAGGGUGCAUAGUUGAGUUAUGCAUGACACAC
Molecule: long non-coding RNA, 215 nt
Filed under: Spirodela polyrhiza (greater duckweed)
Lineage: Eukaryota; Viridiplantae; Streptophyta; Magnoliopsida; Alismatales; Araceae
Description: long non-coding RNA (SPOL_LNC001935)
Source: RNAcentral